This is a non-coding RNA of Physcomitrium patens, 1254 nucleotides long. The record is from RefSeq and is a predicted model, not a curated record. Lineage: Eukaryota; Viridiplantae; Streptophyta; Bryopsida; Funariales; Funariaceae.
CAAACAUUUUAUACACAUCCAACAUGUAAACAAUGAAAUCAAAUAUUCCCAUUUUUCUGAAAACACAAAAAAACUUACAUGUAAAAUCCUAGUUUCUAUGAACAUGGCCUUUUCCGUGUGGCACUGACUCCUAAAUAGCUUCAAACCAAGCCCUAAUUAGAAUCCGUCGUCGGGAGUAUCUGGAACGGUCUUCCGCCACACGACUGAUUCCACUUAGGGUUUGGCAAUGCCCGAGCUUGCCCGUUGCUUCGUUGCCUCGUUAUUGGAGCCGAGGCUUCGCGAUCACCUUCUGCGCGGCGAUCGAAGCUCCUUCGCGGAAUGGCCUCGCCUCGGACGCCGUGCCACACUGAUUUGGGCGAGAAAUCCUAAGCAAACACUGUCGUCGGAGUAGGACCCAGGAAGCUCGUGGCCGAGUCAUCACCCCUUCUUUUCUCUAAAGUUUCCUUGCCUGUUGCAAAGAGAUUCGUGGGGUUCUCGUAACCGCAGAACGAAGGAGUCCUUCUCCUCUGUCUCUGGCGUGUGCCAAGCGUUGGGCAAGCCAGCAGAAGUUGGCUUCAGGAACCGGCAGCGGUCUGCUUUCGUGUUCGUGAAACGCCGCCACUACGUUGUGACGGUUUUUGACUUGAAUGGCACACUCCCGGCAAGCUGAGCACGCCGAAUGUGCAGAUGGAUGCUUGCCACGCCAUAAAACAACCAACCUCCGCACUCAGGAGUCAAAAACCCUCUGAAUGGCACAAGAAUUAUUUCAAGUUCAAUGGAAUUCGUAUACUGGUUAGCGGGCUCUGUGAAGGUUUGGGUACCAGAGAUCUCUUCUGGUUGUAUGAUAGAAGAUGCCAACUGUGCCGCGACGAUAAUCGGGGAGGGACAUAGUGGCUUUCACUGCAACCUAAACUAAACAAGGCCACGUACUUUGUCAUUCGCAGACUACCAUUUGUAAGCAGCCCAAUACUUGGCAAGAUUUGGUUUGCAAGGGCUGGCUUUAAAUUAUCGCAAACGAUGCACAUACGGGAUCCAAUGACCAUGGCUAAGUCGGGGCUCUCAAGAGGAGCUAUCCGCAAAUUCAUUACCAUGGCAACCACGAAUCUGCAUUACUGCAAGGCCGACAGUAGGUUUUUUUGAAAUACUGAAACGCGUGUCGUAUUGAGAAUUUCUUAUGAUUUGACAGAUUUCCUCGCUUGUUUGGCCAAGUUGCCCUCUUAUCAACAGUACAAUGCAAGGUUUGAAAAAAAAUCGCUUGUCUCGUCCCUGUCCUUA